AGCUUUGCGCAGUGGCAGUAUCGUAGCCAAUGAGGUUUAUCCGAGGCGCGAUUAUUGCUAAUUGAAAACUUUUCCCAAAAUAGCACAAUUUUCAGGAGCCUCCUACAAAAG
This 111-nucleotide small nuclear RNA is filed under the name Suricata suricatta (meerkat). RNAcentral describes it as "U4 spliceosomal RNA (ENSSSUG00005009714.1)". It matches the Rfam family "U4 spliceosomal RNA". From Rfam's summary of the family: U4 small nuclear RNA (U4 snRNA) is a component of the major U2-dependent spliceosome. The record is from Rfam by way of RNAcentral. Lineage: Eukaryota; Metazoa; Chordata; Mammalia; Carnivora; Herpestidae.